RNAcentral lists this ribosomal RNA (643 nucleotides) under Nocardiopsis sp. RNAcentral's name for it is "bacterial SSU rRNA". It matches the Rfam family "Bacterial small subunit ribosomal RNA", at positions 38 to 686 of the family's 1533-position model. The record is from RNAcentral. Lineage: Bacteria; Bacillati; Actinomycetota; Actinomycetes; Streptosporangiales; Nocardiopsidaceae.
GGCGGCGUGCUUACACAUGCAAGUCGAGCGGUAAGGCCCUUCGGGGUACACGAGCGGCGAACGGGUGAGUAACACGUGAGCAACCUGCCCCUGACUCUGGGAUAAGCGGUGGAAACGCCGUCUAAUACCGGAUACGACCCGCCACCUCAUGGUGGAGGGUGGAAAGUUUUUCGGUCAGGGAUGGGCUCGCGGCCUAUCAGCUUGUUGGUGGGGUAACGGCCUACCAAGGCGAUUACGGGUAGCCGGCCUGAGAGGGCGACCGGCCACACUGGGACUGAGACACGGCCCAGACUCCUGCGGGAGGCAGCAGUGGGGAAUAUUGCGCAAUGGGCGAAAGCCUGACGCAGCGACGCCGCGUGGGGGAUGACGGCCUUCGGGUUGUAAACCUCUUUUACCACCAACGCAGGCUUCCAGUUCUCUGGAGGUUGACGGUAGGUGGGGAAUAAGGACCGGCUAACUACGUGCCAGCAGCCGCGGUAAUACGUAGGGUCCGAGCGUUGUCCGGAAUUAUUGGGCGUAAAGAGCUCGUAGGCGGCGUGUCGCGUCUGCUGUGAAAGACCGGGGCUUAACUCCGGUUCUGCAGUGGAUACGGGCAUGCUAGAGGUAGGUAGGGGAGACUGGAAUUCCUGGUGUACCGGUGAAA